GGGAUCAUGUGUGGAUACCCAGAGGCUCGGGGGAAAUGAUCUACUUUCCUUUUCCUGGAACAGAAAUUAACCAGUUUGACUGAAUUCUUUUAUUUGGCAGCCAAGAGUUUGGAGGCCAAGCAGACCCAACCGUGGAAGAUCAAAGUAGGGCAAAUUUUGCCUUUUUUGGUUGUUGGACAAAUGCUGUGGACAUGUCCAUUAAACCUCAGAGAAGAGGCAAGAUCUGCCUUAAGGAGGCGUGGAAGCAGGGCUAGGACUGCCCUAAAGAGCAGGUCACAGCUGACCCAGCAGAGGUGACUCGGGAACAUCUAUCUGCCCUUUAGCCAGCUCUGUGCUGGAGCUGCUCACGCCACGACCCCUGAUUGUGAAAUCUCCUCCUAACCCUGUGUUCAGUGACGUCACAUUGUUAGCUUGACAUCAGCCAUGGUGGGAGGAGCAUCGACACUGCAGAAAUUGGCAAAGGUUCCAAAUCAGGGCUCCUCUACCUGCUGAGAGCUGAUGAUUCUAGCUAGGAUGGUGGACUCUGGAACCAAACUCCCUGGGUUUCUAAUCCCGCUUUGACUUGGGGACCACUUCCUAGCUGUGACCUUGGGUGUCAGUUUUCUCAUCUGUAAGACGGUGGUGGUCACAGUGCUUCCCUGCUGGUAGAGUCACUGUGAGAAUUCACUGAGUUAAUCCAAUUCAAGCAGUCAGACGAGCGCCUUGUACACAAUAAUGCCAUGGUACCCAGAGGCCAAUGACCUCACAGGGAAGAAGUUUCUUAGAACCACAACACUUUCGGUGCGGUGACUCCUCCUUCAAAGUUACUCAGCAUGUAAUGUUUCCAACAACACUCAAGCAAUGCUUUUCAGGACACCUGGACCGGGUUUAAGUCCUCAUCUGUCUGUGCUGAUUUGACCUGUUGGGACUUAAUUAAUCUCUCAUCAAUUGCGGUCUGAUCUACUCUGCCAAGUCAACUUUUUAAUGAGGCACAUUUCCACAAACAAAUGUUUAAUUUUGACAUCUUCUUUUCAUCCUGGUUUCUCUGUAAAACCAUUUAAGGUUCUGCUGUGUUUUU
RNAcentral lists this long non-coding RNA (1057 nucleotides) under Equus caballus (horse). RNAcentral describes it as "lncRNA (ENSECAG00000060006.1)". The record is from RNAcentral. Lineage: Eukaryota; Metazoa; Chordata; Mammalia; Perissodactyla; Equidae.